This 234-nucleotide long non-coding RNA is filed under the name Solanum tuberosum (potato). RNAcentral's name for it is "long non-coding RNA (STUB_LNC006245)". The record is from RNAcentral. Lineage: Eukaryota; Viridiplantae; Streptophyta; Magnoliopsida; Solanales; Solanaceae.
UGGGUUCCUUUCACCCAUUAGGUCCCUAGUUUUCAGUCAGUUUCUUGAUUCCCUUAUUAUGACUAGACCUAGGGUUUCUUGGAAGUUAGAAUUGUUGGGUUCUUAGCUGUUAGAAUGAUCCAAAUCAGAUUUGUACGUUAAUAUUCAGUUUAAUGCAUGAAUUCCAGAACCCUAGCUAUGUAUUUCUUUAGUUCUUGAAUUACACAUGCUAGGUCAGAUAUUUCAGUUAUUCAG